RNAcentral lists this ribosomal RNA (767 nucleotides) under Caulobacteraceae bacterium. RNAcentral's name for it is "bacterial SSU rRNA". It matches the Rfam family "Bacterial small subunit ribosomal RNA", at positions 92 to 895 of the family's 1533-position model. The record is from RNAcentral. Lineage: Bacteria; Pseudomonadati; Pseudomonadota; Alphaproteobacteria; Caulobacterales; Caulobacteraceae.
UUAGUGGCGGACGGGUGAGUAACACGUGGGAACGUGCCUUUAGGUUCGGAAUAACUCAGGGAAACUUGUGCUAAUACCGAAUGUGCCCUUCGGGGGAAAGAUUUAUCGCCUUUAGAGCGGCCCGCGUCUGAUUAGCUAGUUGGUGAGGUAAAGGCUCACCAAGGCGACGAUCAGUAGCUGGUCUGAGAGGAUGAUCAGCCACAUUGGGACUGAGACACGGCCCAAACUCCUACGGGAGGCAGCAGUGGGGAAUCUUGCGCAAUGGGCGAAAGCCUGACGCAGCCAUGCCGCGUGAAUGAUGAAGGUCUUAGGAUUGUAAAAUUCUUUCAGUAGGGACGAUAAUGACGGUACCUACAGAAGAAGCCCCGGCUAACUUCGUGCCAGCAGCCGCGGUAAUACGAAGGGGGCUAGCGUUGCUCGGAAUUACUGGGCGUAAAGGGAGCGUAGGCGGACAUUUAAGUCAGGGGUGAAAUCCCGGGGCUCAACCUCGGAAUUGCCUUUGAUACUGGGUGUCUUGAGUGUGAGAGAGGUAUGUGGAACUCCGAGUGUAGAGGUGAAAUUCGUAGAUAUUCGGAAGAACACCAGUGGCGAAGGCGACAUACUGGCUCAUUACUGACGCUGAGGCUCGAAAGCGUGGGGAGCAAACAGGAUUAGAUACCCUGGUAGUCCACGCCGUAAACGAUGAUUGCUAGUUGUCGGGAUGCAUGCAUUUCGGUGACGCAGCUAACGCAUUAAGCAAUCCGCCUGGGGAGUACGGUCGCAAGAUU